This 288-nucleotide ribosomal RNA is filed under the name uncultured bacterium. RNAcentral's name for it is "partial 16S ribosomal RNA". It matches the Rfam family "Bacterial small subunit ribosomal RNA", at positions 773 to 1060 of the family's 1533-position model. The record is from RNAcentral.
GUGGAUUAGAUACCCUGGUAGUCCACACUGUAAACGAUGAAUGCUAGGUGUAGGGGGUAUCGACCCCUUCUGUGCCGCAGUAAACACAAUAAGCAUUCCGCCUGGGGAGUACGGCCGCAAGGUUGAAACUCAAAGGAAUUGACGGGGGCCCGCACAAGCAGCGGAGCAUGUGGUUUAAUUCGACGCAACGCGAAGAACCUUACCAGGUCUUGACAUCCAGGUAAAGCCGUAGAGAUACGGUGUGUGCUUGCACAAUCUGAGACAGGUGGUGCACGGCUGUCGUCAGCU